RNAcentral lists this ribosomal RNA (429 nucleotides) under Acidobacteriota bacterium. RNAcentral describes it as "Acidobacteria bacterium partial 16S ribosomal RNA". It matches the Rfam family "Bacterial small subunit ribosomal RNA", at positions 355 to 776 of the family's 1533-position model. Lineage: Bacteria; Pseudomonadati; Acidobacteriota. The record is from RNAcentral.
UGGGGAAUUUUGGACAAUGGGGGAAACCCUGAUCCAGCCAUCCCGCGUGUGCGAUGAAGGCCUUCGGGUUGUAAAGCACUUUUGGCAGGAAAGAAACGUCAUGGGUUAAUACCCCGUGAAACUGACGGUACCUGCAGAAUAAGCACCGGCUAACUACGUGCCAGCAGCCGCGGUAAUACGUAGGGUGCAAGCGUUAAUCGGAAUUACUGGGCGUAAAGCGUGCGCAGGCGGUUCGGAAAGAAAGAUGUGAAAUCCCAGAGCUCAACUUUGGAACGGCAGUGUUAACUGCCGGGCGAGAGGGUGUCAGAGGGAGGUGGAAUUCCGCGUGGAGCAGUGAAAUGCGUAGAUAUGCGGAGGAACACCGAUGGCGAAGGCAGCCUCCGGGGAUAACACGGACGCGGAGGGACGAAAGCGUGGGGAGCGAACAGG